UACGUAGGGGGCAAGCGUUGUCCGGAAUCAUUGGGCGUAAAGCGCGUGUAGGCGGCUUGGUAAGUCCGUUCUGAAAGCCCGGGGCUCAACCCCGGGAGGCGGAUGGAUACUGUCAAGCUUGAGUCCGGAAGAGGCGAGUGGAAUUCCCGGUGUAGCGGUGAAAUGCGCAGAUAUCGGGAGGAACACCAAUGGCGAAGGCAGCUCGCUGGGACGUGACUGACGCUGAGACGCGAAAGCGUGGGGAGCAAACAGG
Molecule: ribosomal RNA, 253 nt
Filed under: uncultured bacterium
Lineage: Bacteria
Description: partial 16S ribosomal RNA
Rfam family: Bacterial small subunit ribosomal RNA
Source: RNAcentral